Molecule: ribosomal RNA, 490 nt
Filed under: uncultured bacterium
Lineage: Bacteria
Description: partial 16S ribosomal RNA
Rfam family: Bacterial small subunit ribosomal RNA
Source: RNAcentral
AUUGAACGCUGGCGGCAGGCCUAACACAUGCAAGUCGAACGGUAACAGGAAGCAGCUUGCUGCUUUGCUGACGAGUGGCGGACGGGUGAGUAAUGUCUGGGAAACUGCCUGAUGGAGGGGGAUAACUACUGGAAACGGUAGCUAAUACCGCAUAACGUCGCAAGACCAAAGAGGGGGACCUUCGGGCCUCUUGCCAUCGGAUUUGCCCAGAUGGGAUUAGCUAGUAGGUGGGGUAACGGCUCACCUAGGCGACGAUCCCUAGCUGGUCUGAGAGGAUGACCAGACACACUGGAACUGAGACACGGUCCAGACUCCUACGGGAGGCAGCAGUGGGGAAUAUUGCACAAUGGGCGCAAGCCUGAUGCAGCCAUGCCGCGUGUAUGAAGAAGGCCUUCGGGUUGUAAAGUACUUUCAGCGGGGAGGAAGGGAGUAAAGUUAAUACCUUUGCUCAUUGACGUUACCCGCAGAAGAAGCACCGGCUAACUCCGUG